Molecule: small nucleolar RNA, 118 nt
Organism: Andrographis paniculata
Lineage: Eukaryota; Viridiplantae; Streptophyta; Magnoliopsida; Lamiales; Acanthaceae
Product: small nucleolar RNA Z278
Exons: 1
Source: RefSeq, a predicted model, not a curated record
GUCAAUGAUGAAAUAUCCACAUGGUUGAGGCGUGGUUGAUUUCGAGACCCUGUUCAUCAGGGAGAACCUACUCGGGAUUGCUAUGCUUUAUCAUGAAAUCAUUGGAAGUUUCUGAGAU